AGCGGCAGACGUGAGUAACGCGUGGGAACGUACCUUUUGGUUCGGAACAACACAGGGAAACUUGUGCUUACCGGAUAAGCCCUUACGGGGAAAGAUUUAUCGCCGAAAGAUCGGCCCGCGUCUGAUGCUAGUUGGUGAGGUAACGGCUCACCAAGGCGACGAUCAGUAGCUGGUCUGAGAGGAUUCAGCCACAUUGGGACUGAGACACGGCCCAAACUCCUACGGGAGGCAGCAGUGGGGAAUUGGACAAUGGGCGCAAGCCUGAUCCAGCCAUGCCGCGUGAGUGAUGAAGGCCCUAGGUGUAAAGCUCUUUUGUGCGGGAAGAUAAUGACGGUACCGCAAGAAUAAGCCCCGGCUAUUCGUGCCAGCAGCCGCGGUAAUACGAAGGGGGCUAGCGUUGCUCGGAAUCACUGGGCAAAGGGUGCGUAGGCGGGUCUUUAAGUCAGGGGUGAAAUCCUGGAGCUCAACUCCAGAUGCCUUUGAUACUGAAGAUCUUGAGUUCGGGAGAGGUGAGUGGAACUGCGAGUGUAGAUGAAAUUCGUAGAUAUUCGCAAGAACACCAGUGGCGAAGGCGGCUCACUGGCCCGAUAGACGCUGAGGCACGAAAGCGUGGGGAGCAAACAGGAUUAGAUACCCUGGUAGUCCACGGUAAACGAUGAAUGCCAGCCGUUGGGAAGUUUACUUCUCAGUGGCGCAGCUAACGCUU
This 706-nucleotide ribosomal RNA is filed under the name uncultured bacterium. RNAcentral's name for it is "bacterial SSU rRNA". It matches the Rfam family "Bacterial small subunit ribosomal RNA", at positions 94 to 860 of the family's 1533-position model. The record is from RNAcentral.